Non-coding RNA from Bos taurus (domestic cattle), 72 nucleotides. Lineage: Eukaryota; Metazoa; Chordata; Mammalia; Artiodactyla; Bovidae. The record is from Rfam.
UCCCUGGUGGCUCAGUGGUAAAGCAUCUGCCUGCCAAUGCAGGAGACACAGGUUUGAUCCCUGGUCCAGGAA